UGGGGAAUAUUGGACAAUGGGGGGAACCCUGAUCCAGCAAUGCCGCGUGUGUGAAGAAGGCCUGAGGGUUGUAAAGCACUUUCAGAGGGGAGGAGGACUAUUAGGUUAAGAGCUAGAUAGUUGGACGUUACCCUCAGAAGCAGCACCGGCUAACUCCGUGCCAGCAGCCGCGGUAAUACGGGGGGUGCAAGCGUUAAUCGGAAUUAUUGGGCGUAAAGGGUGCGUAGGCGGCAUGACAAGUCACUUGUGAAAUCUCUGGGCUUAACCCAGAACGGCCAAGUGAUACUGUCGCGCUAGAGUGCAGAAGGGGCAAUCGGAAUUCUUGGUGUAGCGGUGAAAUGCGUAGAUAUCAAGAGGAACACCUGAGGUGAAGACGGGUUGCUGGGCUGACACUGACGCUGAGGCGCGAAAGCCAGGGGAGCAAACGGGAUUAGAUACCCACGUAGUCCCUGAGCGGGCUGGCAAGGCGCAU
Molecule: ribosomal RNA, 472 nt
Filed under: uncultured bacterium
Lineage: Bacteria
Description: bacterial SSU rRNA
Rfam family: Bacterial small subunit ribosomal RNA
Source: RNAcentral